This 466-nucleotide ribosomal RNA is filed under the name uncultured bacterium. Its description in RNAcentral is "partial 16S ribosomal RNA". It matches the Rfam family "Bacterial small subunit ribosomal RNA", at positions 28 to 507 of the family's 1533-position model. The record is from RNAcentral.
GACGAACGCUGGCGGUGUGCUUAACACAUGCAAGUCGAACGGUAAGGCCCUUUCGGGGGUACACGAGUGGCGAACGGGGGAGUAACACGUGAGUAACCUGCCCUCAUCUCUGGGAUAACAGUCGGAAACGGUUGCUAAUACUGGAUAUGAGCCUGCAAGGCAUCUUGUGGGUUGGAAAGAUUUUUUUGGUUGGGGAGGGACUCGCGGCCGAUCAGCUUGUUGGUGAGGUAGUGGGUCACCAAGGACUCGGGGGGUAGUCGGCCUGAGGGGGCGACCGGCCACAUUGGGACUGAGAGACGGCACAAGCUCCUACGGGAGGCAGCAGUGGGGAAUAUUGCACAAUGGACGGAAGGCUGGUGCAGCAACGCCGCGGGUGGGAUGACGGCCUUCGGGUUGUAAACCGCUUUCAAUUGUGACGAAGCUUUUUGUGACGGUAGCAGUAGAAGAAGCACCGGCUAACUACGUG